RNAcentral lists this ribosomal RNA (468 nucleotides) under uncultured bacterium. RNAcentral's name for it is "partial 16S ribosomal RNA". It matches the Rfam family "Bacterial small subunit ribosomal RNA", at positions 28 to 507 of the family's 1533-position model. The record is from RNAcentral.
GACGAACGCUGGCGGCGUGCUUAACACAUGCAAGUCGAACGGAAAGGCCCUGCUUUUGUGGGGUUCUCGUGUGGCGCAGGGGUGAGUAACACGUGAGUAACAUGCCCUUGACUUUGGGAUAACUUCAGGAAACUGGGGCUCAUACCGGAUAGGAGCUCCUGCUGCAUGGUGGGGGUUGGAAAGUUUCGGCGGUUGGGGAUGUAGUCGCGGCUUAUCAGCUUGUUGGUGGGGUAGUGGCUUACCAAGGCUAUGACGGGUAGCCGGCCUGAGAGGGUGACCGGGCACAUUGGGACUGAGGUAGGGCCCAGACUGCAACGGGAGGCAUGAGUGGAGAAUAUUGCAAAAUAGGCGGAAGCCGGAUGCAACAACGUCGCGUGCGGGAUCACUGCUUGUGGGGUAUAAACCGCUUUCGCCUGGAACGAACAGUGAGUGACGGUAACGGGUAAGGAAGCAACGGCUAACUACGUG